AGGAAAGUAGGGGAUCGCAAGACCUUGCGCUUUUGGAGCGGCCGAUGUCUGAUUAGCUAGUUGGUGAGGUAAAGGCUUACCAAGGCUUCGAUCAGUAGCUGGUCUGAGAGGACGACCAGCCACACUGGGACUGAGACACGGCCCAGACUCCUACGGGAGGCAGCAGUGGGGAAUUUUGGACAAUGGGGGCAACCCUGAUCCAGCCAUGCCGCGUGAGUGAAGAAGGCCUUCGGGUUGUAAAGCUCUUUCAGCCGGAACGAAAAGGUUACGGUUAAUACCCGUGACUAAUGACGGUACCGGAAGAAGAAGCACCGGCUAACUACGUGCCAGCAGCCGCGGUAAUACGUAGGGUGCGAGCGUUAAUCGGAAUUACUGGGCGUAAAGCGUGCGCAGGCGGUUUUGUAAGUCAGAUGUGAAAUNCCCCGGGCUUAANACUGGGAACUGCGUUUGAAACUANCAAGGCU
RNAcentral lists this ribosomal RNA (464 nucleotides) under uncultured beta proteobacterium. Its description in RNAcentral is "bacterial SSU rRNA". It matches the Rfam family "Bacterial small subunit ribosomal RNA", at positions 190 to 642 of the family's 1533-position model. Lineage: Bacteria; Pseudomonadati; Pseudomonadota; Betaproteobacteria. The record is from RNAcentral.